Molecule: long non-coding RNA, 445 nt
Organism: Triplophysa rosa
Lineage: Eukaryota; Metazoa; Chordata; Actinopteri; Cypriniformes; Nemacheilidae
Exons: 3
Source: RefSeq, a predicted model, not a curated record
GCGACUAAAUGGUCUCAUUUUGCGACAAAUUUUCCUGCCAGUGCGACAAGUUUUUCUUAAUGGUCACACCAGUGCGACUGUCAAACUGAUCAAUAUAUAAUUUUUGCGUAUUAUAAAUUUAAUGCGCAGAAAUGUUAUAUUGCGCAAGCUGCGCAUUCAGUCACUCAUUUUAGUCUCCCCUCCUUCAACCAUUCCUUAUCUAUCAGUGCCCCGCCCCCAAAGACGUAAUUCGCGGGUCACGGGUAAGAGGCGAAGGACCGAAAGAGCAGACGAGUGAAGCGCUCAAUCUUGCAACUUAAAUAAAUAUGCAGAAUACAAGAAUUUCCCCUGCUAAGGCAUUCUGACUUAUUACACUGUGGAGCGGUCACAGCAAUAAAAGAUCCCGGCCAUGAGUCGGAACCACAGGCGGAUUGGUUCCCAUUUUCCAGAUUUGGUACUAAAAGCA